UCUCUGCGUUGGCGUUCUUCACGUAGAU
This 28-nucleotide small RNA is filed under the name Bombyx mori (domestic silkworm). RNAcentral's name for it is "ovarian small RNA-29851". The record is from RNAcentral. Lineage: Eukaryota; Metazoa; Arthropoda; Insecta; Lepidoptera; Bombycidae.